Molecule: ribosomal RNA, 484 nt
Filed under: uncultured bacterium
Lineage: Bacteria
Description: partial 16S ribosomal RNA
Rfam family: Bacterial small subunit ribosomal RNA
Source: RNAcentral
AUUGAACGCUGGCGGCAGGCCUAACACAUGCAAGUCGAGCGGAUGAAGGGAGCUUGCUCCUGGAUUCAGCGGCGGACGGGUGAGUAAUGCCUAGGAAUCUGCCUGGUAGUGGGGGAUAACGUCAGGAAACGGGCGCUAAUACCGCAUACGUCCUGAGGGAGAAAGGGGGGGAUCUUCGGACCUCACGCUAUCAGAUGAGCCUAGGUCGGAUUAGCUAGUUGGUGGGGUAAAGGCCUACCAAGGCGACGAUCCGUAACUGGUCUGAGAGGAUGAUCAGUCACACUGGAACUGAGACACGGUCCAGACUCCUACGGGAGGCAGCAGUGGGGAAUCUUGGACAAUGGGCGAAAGCCUGAUCCAGCCAUGCCGCGUGUGUGAAGAAGGUCUUCGGAUUGUAAAGCUCUUUAAGUUGGGAGGAAGGGCAGUAAGUUAAUCCCUUGCUGUUUUGACGUUACCAACAGAAUAAGCACCGGCUAACUUCGUG